This 301-nucleotide ribosomal RNA is filed under the name uncultured bacterium. Its description in RNAcentral is "partial 16S ribosomal RNA". It matches the Rfam family "Bacterial small subunit ribosomal RNA", at positions 509 to 809 of the family's 1533-position model. The record is from RNAcentral.
CAGUCGCCACGGGAAUACGAAGGGGGCUAGCGUUGCUCGGAAUGACUGGGCGUAAAGGGCGCGUAGGCGGCGAUCAAAGUCAGGCGUGAAAUUCCUGGGCUCAACCUGGGGGCUGCGCUUGAUACUUGGUUGCUUGAGUGGGGAAGAGGGUCGUGGAAUUCCCAGUGUAGAGGUGAAAUUCGUAGAUAUUGGGAAGAACACCGGUGGCGAAGGCGGCGACCUGGUCCUUGACUGACGCUGAGGCGCGAAAGUGUGGGGAGCAAACAGGAUUAGAUACCCCUGUAGUCCCUGUCUCUUAUAU